GACGAACGCUGGCGGCGUGCUUAACACAUGCAAGUCGAACGGAAAGGCCCCUUUGGGGGUACUCGAGUGGCGAACGGGUGAGUAACACGUGAGUAACCUGCCCUUGACUUCGGGAUAACUUCAGGAAACUGGGGCUAAUACCGGAUAGGAAUCCUUGCUGCAUGGUGGGGGUUGGAAAGCUUCGGCGGUUUUGGAUGGACUCGCGGCUUAUCAGCUUGUUGGUGGGGUUGUGGCUUACCAAGGCUUUGACGGGUAGCCGGCCUGAGAGGGCGACCGGCCACAUUGGGACUGAGAUACGGCCCAGACUCCUACGGGAGGCAGCAGUGGGGAAUAUUGCACAAGGGGCGGAGGCCUGAUGCAGCAACGCCGCGUGCGGGAUGACGGCCUUCGGGUUGUAAACCGCUUUCAGCAGGGGCGAAGCUUGUGGUGACGGUACCUGCAGAAGAAGCACCGGCUAACUACGUG
RNAcentral lists this ribosomal RNA (465 nucleotides) under uncultured bacterium. RNAcentral's name for it is "partial 16S ribosomal RNA". It matches the Rfam family "Bacterial small subunit ribosomal RNA", at positions 28 to 507 of the family's 1533-position model. The record is from RNAcentral.